AGCGGCGGAUGGGUGAGUAACACGUGGGGAACCUGCCCCUAAGUCUGGGAUACCAUUUGGAAACAGGUGCUAAUACCGGAUAAUAAAGCAGAUCGCAUGAUCAGCUUUUGAAAGGCGGCGUAAGCUGUCGCUAAGGGAUGGCCCCGCGGUGCAUUAGCUAGUUGGUAAGGUAACGGCUUACCAAGACGACGAUGCAUAGCCGAGUUGAGAGACUGAUCGGCCACAUUGGGACUGAGACACGGCCCAAACUCCUACGGGAGGCAGCAGUAGGGAAUCUUCCACAAUGGACGCAAGUCUGAUGGAGCAACGCCGCGUGAGUGAAGAAGGUUUUCGGAUCGUAAAGCUCUGUUGUUGGUGAAGAAGGAUAGAGGUAGUAACUGGCCUUUAUUUGACGGUAAUCAACCAGAAAGUCACGGCUAACUACGUGCCAGCAGCCGCGGUAAUACGUAGGUGGCAAGCGUUGUCCGGAUUUAUUGGGCGUAAAGCGAGCGCAGGCGGAAAAAUAAGUCUAAUGUGAAAGCCCUCGGCUUAACCGAGGAACUGCAUCGGAAACUGUUUUUCUUGAGUGCAGAAGAGGAGAGUGGAACUCCAUGUGUAGCGGUGGAAUGCGUAGAUAUAUGGAAGAACACCAGUGGCGAAAGGCGGCUCUCUGGUCUGCAACUGACGCUGAGGCUCGAAAGCAUGGGUAGCGAACAGGAUUAGAUACCCUGGUAGUCCAUGCCGUAACGAUGAGUGCUAAGUGU
RNAcentral lists this ribosomal RNA (743 nucleotides) under uncultured bacterium. Its description in RNAcentral is "bacterial SSU rRNA". It matches the Rfam family "Bacterial small subunit ribosomal RNA", at positions 94 to 823 of the family's 1533-position model. The record is from RNAcentral.